Long non-coding RNA from Oncorhynchus tshawytscha (Chinook salmon), 658 nucleotides. The record is from Ensembl. NCBI's taxonomy places the organism in Eukaryota, Metazoa, Chordata, Actinopteri, Salmoniformes, Salmonidae.
GAUUCAUGUGCGUCACCUAGACUGGGCUCCUGUCGGAACCACCUGCCCUCAGAAAGACAACUCCUUAGUUCCACCGGUGUGGCUUCCCUGUGACAGCUUGUGUACAGUACACACACUGUGCUCGCAGUAAUAGGAACACCGGAACGUAACGUGUUAUGUAAGCACUGCAAGUUUAUACACAACACAUAAUGACCUCUUUCAUUAUCUCAACUUUCUCUAAAGCAAAACUGACUUUACAAGGUCUAAUCUCUAUUCAUGCUUAGUCAAGAGGGAGUCUGAGGCGAGGAGGGCAUAAACAGAAUAGAAAGGGUCUCCUGUCCCUUUAAGAGGGAGUCGGAGGUGAGGAGGGCAUAAACAGAAUAGAAAGGGUCUCCUGUCCCUUUAAGAGGGAGUCUGAGGUGAGGAGGGCAUAAACAGAAUAGAAAGGGUCUCCUGUCCCUUUAAGAGGGAGUCUGAGGUGAGGAGGGCACAAACACAAUAGAAAGGGUCCCCUGUCCCUUUAAGAGGGAGUCUGAGGUGAGGAGGGCACAAACACAAUAGAAAGGGUCUCCUGUCCCUUUAAGAGGGAGUCUGAGGUGAGGAGGGCAUAAACAGAAUAGAAAGGGUCUCCUGUCCCUUUAAGAGGGAGUCUGAGGUGAGGAGGGCACAAACACAAUAG